RNAcentral lists this long non-coding RNA (378 nucleotides) under Mus musculus (house mouse). RNAcentral's name for it is "long non-coding RNA chr13:49799764-49800142". Lineage: Eukaryota; Metazoa; Chordata; Mammalia; Rodentia; Muridae. The record is from RNAcentral.
AGCUGCAUGCCUGGUGAGGUGGCGUGGCCUGCUGUGCGUGGAUGGGAACUGAGAGUAUAAAAGAGUGAGAGGCCCAGGGUUCGGGGGAGAUAUAAAAACAAGGGAGAUAUAAACAAGAAGAAACAGGACUGAAUAAACGUGUGCAGAAGGAUCCUGUUGCAGCAUCGUUCUUGCUGGCGAGUUGGGGGCGCGCUCGAGAGUUGGUGCCGAAACCCGGGAAAAGAAACAUCUUCAGGCACAAGCGAAGACCCCCUGCUACAGGGAGGAUUCAGAACUGCAUCACGGGGAAAGGUGGUAAUAAAGUGUUCCCGUAAAACAGACUGUUGAGAAGGAUCCGGCGUGGAUUCAGAACUCUUCAGCUGGGGAACGGUACUGAUG